AGCGCUGCUGGGCGGCCGGCGCUGGGACAGGAGGAGUAGAGCUGCUCCUCGCAGGCUGACCGCGGCGGGUACAUCGCGUCAUGGUGGAAAGUGCCCUCUCGCCUCUGGCUGCCGUAAUAUUCCGGCGAGUGACUGGGAAGCUACAGAAGAACUAAUUGUCCCAUGUCUGAUGUAUGCCAUUAAAGUGAGAGAAACGAUGAAAAAUGCAAAGGAAAAUCCCCGCCUACCUGCACGAGUUUCCCUUUGUGUAUGGAAUGGACCCAAACUUACGUAGAUCUGCUUUAUUGUCCCUGGCAUCUCACUUUCUUGGAGAAAAUGUCUCUCGUCUGGACAUAAACAGUUGCCAGGAAACUGUGUGGCAGGAGGAGAAAACGAGAGGGAGAAAGAGAGCGGGAGGAAGGGAGACAACGAGAAACCUUUGAACAUAACAGGCAGGCAUUGUCCCUUCAGCCCCCACGGGAGCCCAAGGGUGACUCCUUGGACCCAGCAGCCACCCCCAGGCCGUGCUCCUGACAGACCCCUCGGGGUGACCACUGGGAGCGAGAAAUAAUAAACGCUCCUUUUAGGAUUAGCUAAAAACCCCGUUUUAAACCAGCCUCGCAGCCGUGUUUCACGCUCGGCCACCCGCCUUUCCCACUCGUGUGCAUGCGGACACAGGAGAGGCCGCACAUGUGUGAGCACACACGUGUUUGCACACGCGUGACACGGCUUCACACGCGCACCAGCAGAGGUUGGGGGCUGUACGGAUCGACACGCGUGUUGGGAUGCUCGUGGCUCACAUGCGGGUGCACAGGAGCGGGGGCGACCUAUGGCUCAUGCCCAGCGCCUCUGGGCCCUACGCGGAACUGAGAGUCCGCGCUCGGUGCGGAACCGGGCACCGUGGAGGAGAAGCGAGUCCAGGAGUGGGACCGGAGGCUGCGGUCCCGGGGUGACGGGAAUGCAGCCAGGGCAAGGCCCCCCCCCCCCGCCGGGACACCGGCUGCGGGAGCCCCCCGGGAGCCGCCGGCCGCCGCCGCCGACAGUAGAUGGCAGCAGACGGCGGGGAAUGGGCGAGCCCCGGCGGCAGCCCCGGGGGAGGGAGCGGCGGGGGGGGCUCCCCUCUACCGCUGUAUUUUAUCUUCCCUAAUAAAUAAGCAUGGGAGGAUUCCAGGAGGGGACCCGGCCGGGAGAAGCGCGGACACCCCCCAUCCCUCCACCCCGGGGUGGUGGGGGGGGGGGUGCACAAGCAUUUCUCGUUCAUCCCGUGUUGAAAUGGUUAAAAAAGACCUGCCCGCAGUGAGAUGCGGGAUUUCCACAAGUGGUUGACCACGCAGGAUAGGGAAAAAAUAGGUAUAAAAGCGUUUUGGAGCAAGCUUCCUAAAUUAAAUGAUUUUUGAAUAUAUUUUUUCUUACGAAUAGCGAAAGAAACAACCCCAAACAACGAACGUGAGGAGGCUUAGGAAAAGGGAGAACAGGCACUUUAACCGGUAUUCAUUUUUUUCCCCGUGAUUUAUGAAAAAUGUAACAGGUUCGGGAAGAAAUAGCUUUUAAAAAUGACUUUCUGUUUAUUAUUUCCGCGGCUUGUGAUCAUUUACUCUUGUCCACACAAUAUUCAAGCACAGACAGUUUAGGGCGAGAUAAAUCGUCACGUCAUAAAAUGGUUUAUGCUUAAGUAAUGAAUCUCUCCUUACUCAAUCUCGCUUCACUUCCUCAGGCUCUUACAUUAUCUUAUUUAAAAAUCACCUCGUAACAGUAGCAAUUAGUACAAUAAUUCAAUCCCCCAUGAAAUCUCGCAAAAACAAGAAGAUGAAACCCUCCACAUUUAAAAUCACAGGUAUCCCAGACAAACCUUUUCCUAAACCCGAAGAUAAGCGUUAGGGUAUCACAGAGUGAGGGGAGAUUUGCGCAUUACCGGGUAUGGAAAAGCACCGCCACGCCGUGGGGCUCAGACCCGAGCCAGUAUUCCGGCCGGGAAAGCCGUAAAACCCCAUUAACACCGCGGAACGCAAUUAAAUACAUGGAGGUUUAUUGCAUCGCAACGUCAGCUUCAUUUGGGAGUUUCACAAGGGGGGGGUGUGUGGAAAUACAAUGAGAGCGCUGCGCUCGGGGUUGGCUUCAUUCUUAUUACCUUUUUUUUUUCCCCUUUAUUUUUUCCCUUUCUUCCUUUUUUUUUUUUCUUUUUUUUUUUCUUAUUUGUUUUCUUUUUAACUAAUUUCCAGAGCCUUAUUUUCGAGGCCGCCGCGAGCUGCCCUCUCCGAAGAAACCACCCACAUAAUAAUGACCCUGGAGAGCAACGCAAAACCCAACUGGCUUCCACACAAACUUCGCCAAAUGACGGGGCUCGCCUGAGGAACAGGCGAACUGGCAAAAGCUUCUGCGAGGGGAGAAAAAAUAAACCACCAGAACGACCCGCAAAGGGUUUGCUAUUUUUUUAAAGGCAGUAUCUAAAAGCCUCCACCACCAAGCUCCUGCAAAAUCCUUCACUCCAAGUCUACUAUCUCCAGGUGACCUUAAAGGCUUUAUUUUUCCUUCUUAUUCCGUUGUUUUAUUUGUUCUUUUCUUCCUUAUUUCCGUUCUUAUUUUAAUCCUCUGUUUCUUUCUCAAUCUCUCUUCCCCCCCCCUUAUUUCUUUCUAUUUUCUUCCUCUAUUUCUUCCCUUCAUUCUCUCAAUGUCUCUACCUUUUCCCCAUCCCUUUUUCUCUCUCCCUUUCUUUCACCUUUACACUACGCUUUUCAAGGAAAAUUGUCACACAGAUUUCCACCAUCCCUGAUUUCUUAAAGUGCCUCCCUUUUUCAUCACCCCACCCUUUUCUUUCUCCCCCACCCCUGGACAGAGAAUAUGUGGAAUGGAAUAGAAAAGGCAGCUUGACAAAUGCAUUUUCUCAAAGAAAAUAUUAAACGAAGAGAAGCGUAUGAUUCCCUUACCUUUUGACGUCCAUUUCUGUGGCAUAAGUAAAAUAGGGAGGGAGAGGGAGACAGCGUUUGCUUAUCUGUUAGCUGACAAAUAUUGUCCCAACCUGAGAGCCGUCGGUCGCCUCUCUGACUUGUGAGAGCUUCUUGCAUUUCUGUCAUUUGCAUAGAAAAUGGAGCAACUUCCCUCUUUGAAAAAUGAUAGCCUCCACUCGGUCCAGAACCUCCUCUGCCCCUCCAUGGCUACCGAGAUUCCAGAUCAGCAGCAAAUUAAGAGAGGAAUUAAAAAAUAAUAAUAA
This is a long non-coding RNA of Pezoporus flaviventris, 3187 nucleotides long. RefSeq lists it as uncharacterized. The transcript has 4 exons. Lineage: Eukaryota; Metazoa; Chordata; Aves; Psittaciformes; Psittacidae. The record is from RefSeq and is a predicted model, not a curated record.